AUGGACAGGCCCAGGGUUCAGCCGCCACCGACGCCAGGUGAGAGGGGUUGCUCCUUCCUCGACCUCCCCACCGCAAGGCUCUGCGCGUCUUCCUCUCUCUGUCUCCCUCGCUCUGUCUCCCUGUCUCCCUUGCUCUGUCUCCCUGUUUCCCUCGCUCUGUCUCCCUCUGUCUCCCUCGCUCUGUCUCCCUCUGCCUCCCCUCUCUCUUUCUCCCUCUCCCUCUCUCCCUGUCUCUCUCUCUCUCCCUUUUUCUCUGUCCCUCUCCUCAGCUCUCUCCUUCUCUCUUCUCCCUCCUCGACCCCCUUCCUCUUCCUGUCUCUCCUCCCUAUCGCUCUCCCUCUCUCUCCUCCACCUUCCCCAUCUCUCCCUGUCUCUCAUCUGUCUCUUCCUUGCACCCCUUCUCUGUGUCUCUGUCUCCUUCCCCCAACUUUCUCUCAGUCUCCCUCAGCAACCCCUUCUCUUUCUUACUCUCCCUCUUCUCCCCCAUCUCUCUGUCUUUCCCUGGCUUGGUAUCUCCGUAUCUCUCUGUCUCCUCUCUAUCUCUAUCUCUAUCUCUGUGUCUCCCCUACUUCUCUCCAUCUGUCUCUCCCCCUUCUGUCUCUCCCCCACUUCUCUCCAUCUCUGUCUCUCCCCCACUUCUCUCAUCUCUCUCUCCCCCACUUCUAUCUCUGCCUCUCUCACACUUCUCUCCAUCUGUCUCUUCCCCACUUCUAUCUCUGUCUCUUCCCUACUUCUCUCAUCUCUAUCUCUCCCCCACUUCUGUCUCUCCCCCACUUCUCUCCAUCUGUCUCUUCCCCACUUCUAUUUCUGUCUCUCCCCCACUUCUCUCCAUCUCUGUCUCUCCCCCACUUCUCUCAUCUCUCUUUCCCCACUUCUAUCUCUGUCUCUCCCCCACUUAUCUCUGUUCCCCACUUCUAUCUCUUCCCCACUUCUCUCCAUCUCUGUCUCUCCCCCACUUCUCCCCACUUCUCUCCAUCUGUCUCUCCCCCACUUCUCUCAUCUCUAUCUCUUUCCCCACUUCUAUCUGUCUCUCCUCCACUUCUAUCUCUGUCUCUCCCCCACUUCUAUCUCUGUCUCUCCCCCACUUAUCUCUAUCUGUUCCCCACUUCUAUCUGUCUCUUCCCCACUUCUCUCCAUCUCUGUCUCUCCCCCACUUCUCCCCACUUCUCUCCAUCUGUCUCUCCCCCACUUCUCUCAUCUCUCUUUCCCCACUUCUAUCUCUGUCUCUCCUCCACUUCUAUCUCUGUCUCUCCCCCACUUCUGUCUCUCCCCCACUUAUCUCUAUCUGUUCCCCACUUCUAUCUCUGUCUCUCCCCCACUUCUCUCAUCUCUAUCUCUUCCCCACUUCUAUCUCAUCUCUGUCUCUCCCCCACUUCUCCCCACUUCUCUCCAUCUCUGUCUCUCCCCCACUUCUAUCUCUGUCUCUUCCCCACUUCUAUCUCUGUCUCUUCCCCACUUCUCUCAUCUCUUUCUCUCCCCCGCUUCUAUCUCUGUCACUCCCCCACUUCUCUGUCUCUGCCUCUCCCAUUUCUCUGUCUCUUCCCCCAUUUCUCUGCCUGUCUCUCCCCCUAUUUCUCUGUCUCUGUCUCUCCCCCUAUUUCUCUGUCUCUGUCUGUCUCUCCUGUCUCUCUCUGAGUCCUCCUCUCUCCCCAGCUCUCCAGAUGAAGUCCUCCCGGGCCUCUGCGGUCCCUGCUGAAUAAAGCUGUUUCUGUCCUCACCUCUCUCCCUUCUGCGCCUCCUUCUUUCCUUCCUCGCUCCUCUGCCUCUCAGCUCGGCCCCAAGCCCUGAUCCUGGGUCUAGGGGGUGGGAAUCCCAGAGCUGGGUAUGGGGGCUCCUCCCUCCCAGAGACAGAGAUGGAUGCAGAGAGAGAACCAGUGACAGGCACGGAGAGAGAGCAAGAGACCAAGCGACACAGAGACAAGAUGGGGCCAUAAGCUCAGAGAUGAGAGAUGGCAGGUCAGAGAUACAGCUCGUGAGAGACAGGGAGACAGAGACUUAGAGACCCAGAGACAGAGAGACCAGGCAGCACCCCCGCCCCGAUACACACAGACACAGGGGACAAGGGCCGGGCAGGGCUGGGCAGCCUCCCCUGCCCCUUCAGGCCUGGCCUGGCGUCCCCGCCCCGAUACACACAAACAGACACAGGGGACAAGGGCCAGGCAGGGCUGGGCAGCCUCCCCUCCCCCUUCAGGCCAGGCCAUGCCAGGCCAGGCAGUGCCAGGCCCAGGACAAUGGCCCCUUGUCAGGGCUCCAGAGGAGUUGGCCAGCUGGGGAGGCCUGUGGGCUGGGCCGUGGAGGAGGGGCGGCCACAGACGCCAGGUUGGUGGGGUGCACCUCCUGGGGGCCUGGCCCAGAGCCUCCACCCUCAGACUCCCCUCCUCCCCUGGCCUCCCUUCCUGGGGUCCCCCACCUGCUUCCAGCUUGCUUUCUCUGCUCUGCCUGGGGAAGGGAACAGGCAUUUAUGGAGCACCUGCCGUAUGCAUCCACAAGGCCUCCCUGCCUCUCCUCACACUUCCGCCUCCCACCUCCCUGUCCUGUCCUGGGCACCCACUUCUUGUUCCUCCUGUGAAAUGGGCAAUUAUUAAGCACCUGAAGCUUGGCAGACAAUUCCCGUAACCCAUCUGCACCUUCCAUCCUCCUGGCUUUCCUGUCCCUUCCACCCAGUUCCUUUCUCUUUCUGAUUUGCUUGGUCUCCCCUGGGAAGGCAACGGGCAUCUACUGAGCAUCUACUGUGUACCAAGGAGCUUAGGAACACUGGCUGCUCUCUUCCUACAUCCUUUUCUUCCCCCACUCCUUUCUUUCCUCUCUCUUUUUUUUUUCUUGUUUUUGAGACAAGGUCUCGCUCUGUCACCCAGGCUGGAUCGCAGUCACACAGUCGAGGCUCACUGCAGCCGCAACCUCCUGCGCUCAAGCGAUCCUCUACCCCGGCCCCCCAAGUAGCUGGAACUCCAGGCACCACCAUGUCUGGCUAAUUUUUGUAUUAUUAUUAUUAUUGCUUGAGGCGGAGUUUUGUUCUUGUCACCCAGGCUGGAGUGCAAUGAUGCGAUCUCAGCUCACUUCAAUGUCCACCUCCUGGAUUCAAGCAAUUCUCCCGCCUCAGCUUCCUGAGUAGCUGGGAUUACAGGCACCCAUCACUACACCCGGCUGAUUUUUUGUAUUUUUAACAGAGAUGGGGUUUCACCAUGUCGGUUGGGCUGGUCUUGAACUCCUGACCUCAGGUGAUCCACCCACCUCAGCCCCCACAGUGCUGGGAUUACCAGCGUGAGCCGCCUCACCGGGGCUUUCUUCCCUCUGUGGGUUUCCUCUCCUUUCUGACGUUCUGCUGUCUCCUGGCAGAGGGGGUGGACACACUGUGAGCACUUCCUGUGUACCAGGCACUGUACGUACCUCUCUCCUCGCCCUCUUCCCACCCGGUUCCUCUUCUGUCCUCUCCUUGUGUUUCUGUGCUCUCUGCCCUCUUCCAAGGCAAGGACUACACUUAUUGAGCACUUCUGGUAUGCACACAGUUCUGUCCUUUCUCUACUCUCCUCUUGCCCUUCAGUCUCCACUGAUGCCACCAGUCUCUGCUGCUUUCUGCACUCUGCCAGGGAAGAAAAUGGGCAUUUAUUGAGCACCUACUGUGUCCCCCGUGGCUCACCCGCACCGCUCCCUCCCCACGCAUCCUCUCCUCUGCCCCUCCACCCCCACGGAGGCCUCCUGGGCCAACACUUUUCCUCUUGUUCCUGUCUGAGCCUUCAUUUCCAUCUUGUUCUCGAGGAAGACAAUGUGCAUUUAUUGAGUGCCUCCUGUGUGCCCACCGCUCACCAGAGCACUUGUUCUCAUUUCCUCUCUUCCCCCUACCUCCUUCUCUCCUCCAGCUUCUCCCUUUCCUCUCUGCCCUGCCAGCUCUUUCCUGGGGGAGGAAACAGGCAAGACUGAGUGCCUGCUGUAUGCUGCCCCUUCAUCCCCACCGUCUGCUUGCCUCACAGGCUCUGUUCUCCCUUCUCUCCUUCUCUCUGCUUGCUCCCUUCCUCCUGGCUGCUUGCUCUGUGCCUGCUGCCAGGAAGUCUGUGCUUGCUGCCAGUAAGGAGAAUGGGCAUUUAUUAGGCACCUACUGUGUAUUAGUCACUUUACGUAUAUUGUCUCCUUCCCACGCAAGUCUCUUCUGUUCUCUCUGCUGGAGUUUCUUCCUCCUCCUCCUCCUCACCCUCCUCCUCCUCUCCCUUCUCCUCCUCUCCUCACUCCUCCUUUACUUUCUCCUGUCUCUUGGGGAAAAGAACACUUAACAGACAGACACCUACUGUCUGCNNNNNNNNNNNNNNNNNNNNNNNNNNNNNNNNNNNNNNNNNNNNNNNNNNNNNNNNNNNNNNNNNNNNNNNNNNNNNNNNNNNNNNNNNNNNNNNNNNNNGCCACCAGUCUCUGCUGCUUUCUGCACUCUGCCAGGGAAGAAAAUGGGCAUUUAUUGAGCACCUACUGUGUCCCCCGUGGCUCACCCGCACCGCUCCCUCCCCACGCAUCCUCUCCUCUGCCCCUCCACCCCCACGGAGGCCUCCUGGGCCAACACUUUUCCUCUUGUUCCUGUCUGAGCCUUCAUUUCCAUCUUGUUCUCGAGGAAGACAAUGUGCAUUUAUUGAGUGCCUCCUGUGUGCCCACCGCUCACCAGAGCACUUGUUCUCAUUUCCUCUCUUCCCCCUACCUCCUUCUCUCCUCCAGCUUCUCCCUUUCCUCUCUGCCCUGCCAGCUCUUUCCUGGGGGAGGAAACAGGCAAGACUGAGUGCCUGCUGUAUGCUGCCCCUUCAUCCCCACCGUCUGCUUGCCUCACAGGCUCUGUUCUCCCUUCUCUCCUUCUCUCUGCUUGCUCCCUUCCUCCUGGCUGCUUGCUCUGUGCCUGCUGCCAGGAAGUCUGUGCUUGCUGCCAGUAAGGAGAAUGGGCAUUUAUUAGGCACCUACUGUGUAUUAGUCACUUUACGUAUAUUGUCUCCUUCCCACGCAAGUCUCUUCUGUUCUCUCUGCUGGAGUUUCUUCCUCCUCCUCCUCCUCACCCUCCUCCUCCUCUCCCUUCUCCUCCUCUCCUCACUCCUCCUUUACUUUCUCCUGUCUCUUGGGGAAAAGAACACUUAACAGACAGACACCUACUGUCUGCAUCACACUUUCCACCCAUGCCCCUCUCUCACUCUAUUUUUUUUAGUCGGAGUCUCGCUCUGUCGCCCAGGCUGGAGUGCAGUGGCACAAUCUCAUCUCACUGCAACCUCUGCCUCCCGAGUUGAAGCGGAGAUUAUGGGCACCCGCCACCAUGGGUGCCUCAGCCUCCCAAGUAGCUAGGAUUACAGGUGUGCACCACCACAUUCCGGUAAUUUUUUUGAAACGAGGUUUCACUGUGUUACCCAGGCUGGUCUGGAACUCCUGACCUCAGGUGAUUCACCCGCCUCGGCCUCCCAGAGUGCUGGGAUUACAGGCAUGAGCCACUGCGCCUGGCUCCAUGCCCCUCUCUUGAGGCUGCCUAUCCUCCUGCUUUUCCUCUGCGGGAGUUUCUUCUCCUUUUUCACGUGGUCCUGGAGGGAAUGUGCAUUCAUUGAGCACUGACUGUGUGCCAGGCUUUUUAUAUGCACAGCCUCCCCUUCUCUCCCUCUGUUCCCUUUCCCUUCCUCACUCUGCCUUCCUGCUCUCUGUGCCUUCUCCUCGGAAAGGAUACCAAUUGAGCACCGACUGUAUACCUGGCGACUCUCUCUAGACCCUUCUUUCCCCUGCCCCUCCAGUCCACUGACUCUCUCUUUUUCUUCCUUCUCAGCAGUAGAAGCUCCAAACCGUUCAGAUGGCAGGAGCUUAGGUUUCCCCAGGAGUUUCAGCCACCACAGCCUAGCAUGGGCAGCCAGCCCGUAGGAAGCAGGAGGAGGGAGGACUCAGGCUGCAGCCUGAUUUCUCCCUUGGAAAAAUAGGCGAUGACAAUGGCCACUCCCUCCCAGGGCAGGGCGGGGUGCGGGAGGCUCAAGGAGGCCUCAAGAGAAUCUAGGAAGGAACGCUCUAGAAUCUGACCUGAGAGGUAGCCCAUGCCCACAGAGGGGACGCUUCUGCCAUACCUGUCACCACACUGGAUUCAAACCUGACCCUCCUUCCUCUGCCUCCGCAGCCUCCCUGCCCUGCAGGUGCUUGGCGGGUGGUCCCUGGAUUCCUCACCACCUGGGGGAGAGCAGAUGAGGAAACUGAGGUCCGGGUGGGGAAGAAGAUUCGC
Long non-coding RNA from Aotus nancymaae (Ma's night monkey), 6208 nucleotides. The record is from Ensembl. Lineage: Eukaryota; Metazoa; Chordata; Mammalia; Primates; Aotidae.